RNAcentral lists this long non-coding RNA (1043 nucleotides) under Phasianus colchicus (ring-necked pheasant). Its description in RNAcentral is "lncRNA (ENSPCLG00000008920.1)". Lineage: Eukaryota; Metazoa; Chordata; Aves; Galliformes; Phasianidae. The record is from RNAcentral.
GGAAAGGGCAAAAAUGCCCCUCACCUGUUGUGUGGGUUGAAAAACAAGAAGUUAUUUAAUGCUGUGUUAGUGGUAGCUGUGAAUUUAGAGAGAACUUGUUGGGUUGCUAGCUGUUUCUUUGUACCUGAGAGCUAGUAGGGUAGUGGGUCUCUGGUGGAAGGAAGAGCCUGAAGUGAGGAGUCUUUGCUGGUUAUCCUCAGGUGGGGAAAGAGAGCCAGCUGCCUGCCGAGGAAACUCAACGCAGUGGCAUGGCCUCUUUCCUUCAAACCUGCUGGCUCUUUAUUACCUUGAUGUUUGCCAGGCACUUGCAGAUGGUUUUAAUGCAGGACCACUCUAAGGAGACUGUGUUCUCUUACUGAUCGUUGUCCAAGUGUUCAGAUCUUGAUGUUGACUUCAUGGCCAUCUUGAGCUUAGGCAUGGUUUUAGGAAUGGCUUAGCUUGUGUGUUUCAGGAUUGAGUUUAAUAUAAACUAAAAACUACUGCUUUCUGUCUGAAAAACAAACACCCUCAGAAAGUAUCAAAAAUGAUUCUUAAGAAAAGUGGCUUUUUCACUCAAAUGGAUUUUAUGUCCCUGUAAUUUGGGAUGCAUCAUGGCUGGUUGUGCUUCAUAGCAUCUGAUGGACUGGGCUCUGACCAGAUACCAUGGACGUGUCUCAGCAAACUGGGAAUGCUUUGGAAUGCUUGUUGAGAGCCAGCCAUGUGCCACAGUGGACAUAUGACCCGGAAAAGAAAGUUUCCUGUUUGUAAAUGUGGGUAUAAUUUGUAAGCAUGAAGAAGAUGACUGUGAGAAAUGUUACAUGUAUUUCCCCAUUCAACAAACUAUAUGCAAAGGAAUGAUUUUAACAUCAGGGUUGAGGAGGGAGAAGCAAAGGGAAAAUAAUUUUGUGGAGUGUUGAUUGUUUUCCAUUUAGCUUUUGGAGAUGCAUUUAUUUCAGUGCACAAUAGUGAGUACUGUUUGCUUGUCAUCUGUGAGAAAACCGAGCAGUGCAGAAAGGGCAGGCAAAUGGCUGCAAGCAGGAUUGCAUGGGACCUUGUAGGGCUCC